Molecule: long non-coding RNA, 1327 nt
Filed under: Anas platyrhynchos platyrhynchos (common mallard)
Lineage: Eukaryota; Metazoa; Chordata; Aves; Anseriformes; Anatidae
Description: lncRNA (ENSAPLG00000021850.1)
Source: RNAcentral
ACUAAUAACCAAUUUAUUUUUUAUCACUUUUUAAUUCUUUUGAUUUGAAAAAUAUAUACUUUUCUACAAUAUAUAUAUAACAUUUUCUAUAAUAUAUAUAUAAUAUUCUACGGAAUGGAAUGGAAUGGAAUGGAAUGGAAUGGAAUGGAAUGGAAUGGAAUGGAAGGGACUUCAAGGAUCAUCUAGUUCCACCCCCUGCCAUAGGCAGGGACACCACCCACUAGAUCAAGUUGCUCAGGGUCUCAUCUAACCUGGAUUUGAACACCUCCAGGUACGGGGCAUCCACAACCUCUCUGGGUAUCUUGCUCCAGUGCCUCACCACCCUCUAAGUGAAAAAUUUCCUCCUGACCUCUAAUCUAAAUCUCCCCUCUUUUAGUUUUAAACCAUUCCCCUUAGUCCUAUCAUUAUUUCUCUGAGUAAAGAGUCCUUCAUCCUUUUUAUAAGGCCCCUUUAAGUACUGAAAUGCUGUGAUGAGGUCACCCCAGUGCCUUCUCUUCUGUAGGCUGAACAGCCCCAGCUCUCUUAGCCUGUCUUUGUAGGUGAGGUACUCCAGCCCCUUGAUCAUCUUUGUGACCUUCCUCUGGCACCACUCUAACAGCUCCACAUCCUUCUUGUGCUGGGGGCUCCAGACCUGGACACAGUACUCCAAGUGGGGCCUCAUGAGGGCAGAGUAGAGGGGGACAGCCACUUCCCUUAACCUGCUGGCCACACUUCUUUUAAUGCAUCCCAGGAUGCAGUUGACUUUCUGGGAUGCAAGCACGCACUGCCAACUCAUGUCGAGCUUUGAUCCACCAGAACACCCAAGUCCUUCUAAGCAGGGCUGGUCUCAAUAAGUUCUUCUCCUAGUCUGUACUCACAUCUGGGAUUUCCCCAGCUCAGGUGCAGCAUCGUGCAUUUAGACUUGUUGAACCUCAUUAGGUUCACAUGGACCCACUUCUCAAGCCUGUCCAGGUCCCUUUGGAUGGCAUCUCUUCCUCACUUACUGUAGUUCACUCUUACUGUUCACUCAACUUACUGUUGAGGUUUAACUUCAGCAGGCAGAACCAAGUAUUAAUGUUGCUGAAGAAUGAGUUAAUUUCAGCCUCCCUGUCAGAAUGCUACACCAGACUUCUUCAACAAGUCUUGGAAUGGAAAGCAUCAUUACAAGGUGAUCAGUGCUGCAGACAAAUGUCCUUCCCUCUCUGAUUGGGAUUAUCUGUUCAGCAGGCUUAGCUGGAAAUAUCCUCAUUGUGUUCACAAUAAUAAUGUAUAGAACUGAGUACAUUUGGUAAAAUGACUUAUUGCUGAACAAAAUAAACAAUGACCACACUAAUGGAGUGAAUUGCUG